UGCAGAAGAAGAAGAAGAAGAAGAGGAGGAGGAGGAGGAGAUCAAUUCUCAUUAUUUUUUGUGUAUAUACAGGUUCAGGUGUAGGAAUCUGAGGUACAAGAUUUUAAAGUGCAGGAUUUUGAGCUGGUAUUUGAGGUGCAGGAUUUUGAGAUUUGUUUCAGGUGAUUGAUCGUAGCAUAUGUGGAAAUACGCGGUGCUUAUCCGGAAGACCUCCAUUUCAUUUCGGGAUGGAGAUUGAGUCUUAGAAUGUAGUGGUAAUCUGAAAUCAUUAGUCGCUCUUGUACUAGUCUAGACCAGGUCAUGGGAAGUGGAUCGAGUUUGUAGGUGU
Lycium barbarum (goji berry) is the source of this 328-nucleotide long non-coding RNA. RefSeq lists it as uncharacterized. NCBI's taxonomy places the organism in Eukaryota, Viridiplantae, Streptophyta, Magnoliopsida, Solanales, Solanaceae. The transcript has 3 exons. The record is from RefSeq and is a predicted model, not a curated record.